AGAGUUUGAUCCUGGCUCAGAAUGAACGUUGGCGGCGUGCCUAACACAUGCAAGUCGAGCGUGAAAGUUCCUUCGGGAACAAGUAAAGCGGCGAACGGGUGAGUAACGCGUGGGAAUCUGCCUUUUAGUGAAGGAUACCUUUGAGAAAUUGAAGUUAAUACUGCAUACGUCCCUUCGGGGAGAAAGAUGGCCUCUUUGCUGUCGCUAGAAGAUGAGCCCGCGUACUAUUAGUUAGUUGGUGGGGUAAAGGCCUACCAAGACGAUGAUGGUUAGCCGGCCUGAGAGGGUGUACGGCCACAUUGGGACUGAGAUACGGCCCAGACUCCUACGGGAGGCAGCAGUGAGGAAUAUUGCGCAAUGGGGGAAACCCUGACGCAGCGACGCCGCGUGGAGGAUGAAGGUUUUAGGAUUGUAAACUCCUGUUAAGCGGGAAGAAACGUGUUGAUUUAAUACAUCAACAUAAUGACGGUACCGCUAGAGAAAGCACCGGCUAACUUCGUGCCAGCAGCCGCGGUAAUACGAGGGGUGCUAACGUUAUUCGGAUUUAUUGGGCGUAAAGGGUGCGUAGGUGGCAAUGUAAGUCUGUUGUUAAAUUUUCCGGCCUAACUGGAAACAUGCGAUGGAUACUGCAUUACUAGAGGAUGGGAGAGAGAAGUGGAAUCCUUGGAGUAGCGGUAAAAUGCGUAGAUCUCAAGAGGAACACCAAUGGCGAAGGCAGCUUCUUGGCCCAAUCCUGACACUGAGGCACGAAAGCGUGGGGAGCAAACAGGAUUAGAUACCCUGGUAGUCCACGCUGUAAACGAUGAUCACUGGAUGUCGGUUUUGCUUUGCAGAAUCGGUGUCGUAGCUAACGCGCUAAGUGAUCCGCCUGGGGAUUACGGUCGCAGGACUAAAACUUAAAGGAAUUGACGGGGGUCCGCACAAGCGGUGGAACAUGUGGUUUAAUUCGACACUACGCGAGGAACCUUACCUAGGCUUGACAUGCCUUUGACCGCCAUAGAAACAUGGCUUUCUAAGCUUCGGUUUAGACAGUUGCACAGGUGCUGCAUGGCUGCCGUCAGCUCGUGUCGUGAGAUGUUUGGUUAAGUCCUCUAACGAGCGCAACUCUCGCUGUCAGUUGCCACCUACUUCGGUAGAGCACUCUGACGGGACUGCCUGGGAUAACCAGGAGGAAGGUGGGAAUGACGUCAAGUCAUCAUGGUCCUUAUGCCUAGGGCUACACACGUGUUACAAUGGUCGGUACAACGGGUUGCAAACUCGCAAGAGUAAGCUAAUCCCUGAAAGCCGAUCUAAGUUCGGAUUGGGGUCUGAAACUCGACCCCAUGAAGUUGAAAUCGCUAGUAAUCGCGUAUCAGCAACGACGCGGUGAAUACGUUCUCGGACCUUGUACACACCGCCCGUCACACCAUGAGAGCUGUCUGUACCCAAAGCCGUUUUAGCUAACCUGCAAAGGAGGCGAGCGUCUAAGGUAUGGGGAGUGAUUGGGGUGAAGUCGUAACAAGGUAGCCGU
RNAcentral lists this ribosomal RNA (1510 nucleotides) under uncultured bacterium. RNAcentral's name for it is "bacterial SSU rRNA". It matches the Rfam family "Bacterial small subunit ribosomal RNA". The record is from RNAcentral.